Molecule: unclassified non-coding RNA, 211 nt
Filed under: uncultured Panellus
Lineage: Eukaryota; Fungi; Basidiomycota; Agaricomycetes; Agaricales; Tricholomataceae
Description: sequence contains ITS2
Source: RNAcentral
AAUUAUCAACCUAGAAAGCUUUUGCUCUUCUACGGCUUGGACUUGAGGGCUUUGCUGGCUUUCCUUCAUUGGACGGUCUGCUCCCUUUAAAUGCAUUAGUGGGAUCUCCCUGUAGCCGGUCUUUCGGUGUGAUAAUUAUCUGCACUGUUUGUACUUACAGAACGAGGACCUGCUUCUAACCGUCCUUCAGUUGGACAACUUUCCUUUUAAU